UUAGAGUUUGAUCCUGGCUCAGAGCGAACGCUGGCGGCAGGCCUAACACAUGCAAGUCGAACGAACCUUUCGGGGUUAGUGGCGGACGGGUGAGUAACACGUGGGAACGUGCCUUUAGGUUCGGAAUAACUCAGGGAAACUUGUGCUAAUACCGAAUGUGCCCUUCGGGGGAAAGAUUUAUCGCCUUUAGAGCGGCCCGCGUCUGAUUAGCUAGUUGGUUGAGGUAAUGGCUCACCAAGGCGACGAUCAGUAGCUGGUCUGAGAGGAUGAUCAGCCACAUUGGGACUGAGACACGGCCCAAACUCCUACGGGAGGCAGCAGUGGGGAAUCUUGCGCAAUGGGCGAAAGCCUGACGCAGCCAUGCCGCGUGAAUGAUGAAGGUCUUAGGAUUGUAAAAUUCUUUCACCGGGGACGAUAAUGACGGUACCCGGAGAAGAAGCCCCGGCUAACUUCGUGCCAGCAGCCGCGGUAAUACGAAGGGGGCUAGCGUUGCUCGGAAUUACUGGGUGUAAAGGGAGCGUAGGCGGACAUUUAAGUCAGGGGUGAAAUCCCGGGGCUCAACCUCGGAAUUGCCUUUGAUACUGGAUGUCUUGAGUAUGAGAGAGGUGUGUGGAACUCCGAGUGUAGAGGUGAAAUUCGUAGAUAUUCGGAAGAACACCAGUGGCGAAGGCGACACACUGGCUCAUUACUGACGCUGAGGCUCGAAAGCGUGGGGAGCAAACAGGAUUAGAUACCCCGGUA
RNAcentral lists this ribosomal RNA (741 nucleotides) under uncultured bacterium. RNAcentral describes it as "bacterial SSU rRNA". It matches the Rfam family "Bacterial small subunit ribosomal RNA", at positions 1 to 792 of the family's 1533-position model. The record is from RNAcentral.